CAGCAGCCGCGGUAAUACGGAGGGAGCUAGCGUUGUUCGGAAUUACUGGGCGUAAAGCGCGCGUAGGCGGUUACUCAAGUCAGAGGUGAAAGCCCGGGGCUCAACCCCGGAACUGCCUUUGAAACUAGGUGACUAGAAUCUUGGAGAGGUCAGUGGAAUUCCGAGUGUAGAGGCGAAAUUCGUAGAUAUUCGGAAGAACACCAGUGGCGAAGGCGACUGACUGGACAAGUAUUGACGCUGAGGUGCGAAAGCGUGGGGAGCAAACAGGAUUAGAUACCCCAGUAGUCCCUGUCUCUUAUAC
RNAcentral lists this ribosomal RNA (301 nucleotides) under uncultured bacterium. Its description in RNAcentral is "partial 16S ribosomal RNA". It matches the Rfam family "Bacterial small subunit ribosomal RNA", at positions 509 to 807 of the family's 1533-position model. The record is from RNAcentral.